This 465-nucleotide ribosomal RNA is filed under the name uncultured bacterium. RNAcentral describes it as "bacterial SSU rRNA". It matches the Rfam family "Bacterial small subunit ribosomal RNA", at positions 62 to 524 of the family's 1533-position model. The record is from RNAcentral.
UCGAACGGUAACAGGUCUUCGGACGCUGACGAGUGGCGAACGGGUGAGUAAUACAUCGGAACGUGCCCAGUCGUGGGGGAUAACUACUCGAAAGAGUAGCUAAUACCGCAUACGAUCUGAGGAUGAAAGCGGGGGACCUUCGGGCCUCGCGCGAUUGGAGCGGCCGAUGGCAGAUUAGGUAGUUGGUGGGAUAAAAGCUUACCAAGCCGACGAUCUGUAGCUGGUCUGAGAGGACGACCAGCCACACUGGGACUGAGACACGGCCCAGACUCCUACGGGAGGCAGCAGUGGGGAAUUUUGGACAAUGGGCGAAAGCCUGAUCCAGCAAUGCCGCGUGCAGGAUGAAGGCCUUCGGGUUGUAAACUGCUUUUGUACGGAACGAAAAGGCUCUGGUUAAUACCUGGGGCACAUGACGGUACCGUAAGAAUAAGCACCGGCUAACUACGUGCCAGCAGCCGCGGUAAU